AGCAGCCGCGGUAAUUCCAGCUCCAAUAGCGUAUAUUAAAGUUGUUGCAGUUAAAAAGCUCGUAGUUGAAUUUCGGGGUCAGUAGGUUGGUCGUGCCACUGGUAUGUACUGGUCUCACUGAUUCCUCCUUCCUGAUGAGCCGUAAUGCCAUUAAUUUGGUGUUGCGGGGAAUCUGGACUGUUACUUUGAAAAAUUAGAGUGUUUAAAGCAGGCUAACGCUUGAAUACAUUAGCAUGGAAUAAUGGAAUAGGACGUUCGAUCCUAUUUUGUUGGUUUCUAGGAUUGACGUAAUGAUUAAUAGGGAUAGUUGGGGGCAUUAGUAUUCAAUUGUCAGAGGUGAAAUUCUUGGAUUUAUUGAAGACUAACUACUGCGAAAGCAUUUGCCAAGGAUGUUUUCAUUAAUCAAGAACGAAAGUUAGGGGAUCGAAGACGAUCAGAUACCGUCGUAGUCUUAACCAUAAACUAUGCCGACUAGGGAUCGGAUGAUGUUAAUUUUUUAAUGACUCAUUCGGCGCCUUAA
This 520-nucleotide ribosomal RNA is filed under the name uncultured Glomeromycotina. RNAcentral describes it as "SSU rRNA". It matches the Rfam family "Eukaryotic small subunit ribosomal RNA", at positions 569 to 1091 of the family's 1831-position model. Lineage: Eukaryota; Fungi; Glomeromycota. The record is from RNAcentral.